GUGGUUACGGCCUGCGGCCUGCACCUCAGCUUCCUCCGCACGGUUAUCCCUGUACCCGCCGCCAUCCAUCCUGGCGCUCCGGAUGAGUCAAUGAGGGGCAGCGCCCGAGGAAUGGUCUUCCCAAGAACCCCCGGUGGCCUCCCAAGGCCGGUGCUGUGUACCUCCUCCCCGACAAAAGGGGCAACUGAGGCCCCGAGGGGAGUGGGAAGAGCCGGCUGGACGUCAGGCCCAGCCGCUGGUGCGGUAGUCCGUCCCCUCCGCCGGGGUGGGCCCCUCGGGUUUCGCGUGUCCUCGGGAAAGAGACUGGCGGGCCUCGUGGGCUGUGCGGCUCUCCUGGAGACAGAUGACAGCUCUCCCUUGGAUGGCUUUGCUAGUUUCGCACCAGCCAGCGCCCCAUUUUUCCUGCAGCACCCUGAUCCGCACUCCCUGAGGGGCUCCCACUGUCCGCGGUGUGAGGAUGUCCCUGGAUAGUCCACUGUGUGCAGAGGCAUGGGAGUUGUCAUGUCGAUAACAUGCUAGACCUCAGUGUCCUUGAGGGAUGCCGCCUUGGGUCUGGAGACUGUUAGAGGAAACCCCAAGAGGUGCAAGCACUGAGCCUCUCAGGACAAUGACCUGGGAUUCCACCUCCCCUGGAGGGGCCUCCUCAUGAUUGUUUGGGGGUUGAUCACAGACCAAGAGUGAUGAGUGAUGUCACCCUGUGAUGCAUGGCUGGACCUUCUUGCCCCUAUUGUCUCAGCACAACAUUAAUCGACUUUUCCCUCAGCGUGGGUGGGCAGAGGAAAAGCCCUGUGGCUCUGGGGACUUGGGAUCCAGAGUUGAAGACCCUUCAGCUGGCUCUGCCCUGCCAGUGCCACAGAGUGCCAUGGCCCAGGAAGACUGGUUUUCUUCCAUCUAGGCCAGGCCAUCCAGUGGCCAUCCUUCGUGUCCUCCCACCUCCUUCUGGUGUGACUUCUGAAAACCAAGAAUUUGUUCCUGUUGACUUUUUCUGUGCUAUGGACCAUUGUCCUCUGACCCACUCAAUAAAUCUUGAAACAUGC
RNAcentral lists this long non-coding RNA (1037 nucleotides) under Pongo abelii (Sumatran orangutan). Its description in RNAcentral is "lincRNA". The record is from RNAcentral. Lineage: Eukaryota; Metazoa; Chordata; Mammalia; Primates; Hominidae.